RNAcentral lists this long non-coding RNA (525 nucleotides) under Carica papaya (papaya). Its description in RNAcentral is "long non-coding RNA (CPAP_LNC008797)". The record is from RNAcentral. Lineage: Eukaryota; Viridiplantae; Streptophyta; Magnoliopsida; Brassicales; Caricaceae.
UUAUAUUUGAGAAAAAAAUACUCAUGUAACACUAAAAAAAAGUAAAUUUCUAAUAAUUCCAAAUAUUAGUGUUCAAAAGUUAUAAAAAUUUCUGAACCUUCUAUCCCAAAAUAAUGCAAAUUGAAUACUAAAAAUAAAUAAAUAAAUAAAUUACUUGAAUAUUUUUUUCUCAUUUUCUCCCUCAAACCUCUCUCUGCCUUCCCGUUUCAGCUGGGCUGCUUUCGCGAUUCGGCGCUGCAAGCUCACUCCAGCAGUUCGUUCUUCUACUUAUACUCUCAGUCGCACUUCAUCUCCUCGUUCCUCUCCAAGCCUGCUCCCCGCCGCAAUAGAUUUGAGUUGUCGCAUCAUGGUGGUGAAUAGCUUAAUCCUUCGUUGGUCUCUCUCCGUCUCUAUAUUUUUUUUCUGCUUGCUAGCUGCUUCUCUUUUAAUAGGCGGCUACCAAAGAAGAGAUCCCCCUUCGGCACGCCUCCUUUUUUUCCUUUUUAGCUCCCCCUCUUCCUCUCUUGCCGGUGCUUCUCUUUUUUU